Molecule: small RNA, 28 nt
Filed under: Bombyx mori (domestic silkworm)
Lineage: Eukaryota; Metazoa; Arthropoda; Insecta; Lepidoptera; Bombycidae
Description: ovarian small RNA-30169
Source: RNAcentral
UCUUGAACAACUUCGAGAGGUGUACCGC